GACGAACGCUGGCGGCGGGCUUAACACAUGCAAGUCGAACGGAAAGGCCCUGCUUUUGUGGGGUGCUCGAGUGGCGAACGGGUGAGGAACACGUGAGUAACCGGCCCUUGACUUUGGGAUAACUUCAGGAAACGGGGGCUAAUACCGGAUAGGAGCUCCUGCUGCAGGGUGGGGGUUGGAAAGUUUGGGCGGUUGGGGAUGGACUCGCGGCUUAUCAGCUUGUUGGUGGGGUAGUGGCUUACCAAGGCUUUGACGGGUAGCCGGCCUGAGAGGGUGACCGGCCACAUUGGGCCUGAGAUACGGCCCAGACUCCUACGGGGGGCAGCAGUGGGGAAUAUUGCACAAUGGGCCGAAGCCUGAUGCAGCAACGCCGCGUGCGGGAUGACGGCCUUCGGGUUGUAAACCGCUUUCGCCUGUGACGAAGCGUGAGUGACGGUAAUGGGUAAAGAAGCACCGGCUAACUACGUG
This 468-nucleotide ribosomal RNA is filed under the name uncultured bacterium. RNAcentral describes it as "partial 16S ribosomal RNA". It matches the Rfam family "Bacterial small subunit ribosomal RNA", at positions 28 to 507 of the family's 1533-position model. The record is from RNAcentral.